RNAcentral lists this ribosomal RNA (777 nucleotides) under Escherichia coli. Its description in RNAcentral is "partial 23S ribosomal RNA". It matches the Rfam family "Bacterial large subunit ribosomal RNA", at positions 1108 to 1869 of the family's 2925-position model. The record is from RNAcentral. Lineage: Bacteria; Pseudomonadati; Pseudomonadota; Gammaproteobacteria; Enterobacterales; Enterobacteriaceae.
AGAAGCAGCCAUCAUUUAAAGAAAGCGUAAUAGCUCACUGGUCGAGUCGGCCUGCGCGGAAGAUGUAACGGGGCUAAACCAUGCACCGAAGCUGCGGCAGCGACGCUUAUGCGUUGUUGGGUAGGGGAGCGUUCUGUAAGCCUGCGAAGGUGUGCUGUGAGGCAUGCUGGAGGUAUCAGAAGUGCGAAUGCUGACAUAAGUAACGAUAAAGCGGGUGAAAAGCCCGCUCGCCGGAAGACCAAGGGUUCCUGUCCAACGUUAAUCGGGGCAGGGUGAGUCGACCCCUAAGGCGAGGCCGAAAGGCGUAGUCGAUGGGAAACAGGUUAAUAUUCCUGUACUUGGUGUUACUGCGAAGGGGGGACGGAGAAGGCUAUGUUGGCCGGGCGACGGUUGUCCCGGUUUAAGCGUGUAGGCUGGUUUUCCAGGCAAAUCCGGAAAAUCAAGGCUGAGGCGUGAUGACGAGGCACUACGGUGCUGAAGCAACAAAUGCCCUGCUUCCAGGAAAAGCCUCUAAGCAUCAGGUAACAUCAAAUCGUACCCCAAACCGACACAGGUGGUCAGGUAGAGAAUACCAAGGCGCUUGAGAGAACUCGGGUGAAGGAACUAGGCAAAAUGGUGCCGUAACUUCGGGAGAAGGCACGCUGAUAUGUAGGUGAAGUCCCUCGCGGAUGGAGCUGAAAUCAGUCGAAGAUACCAGCUGGCUGCAACUGUUUAUUAAAAACACAGCACUGUGCAAACACGAAAGUGGACGUAUACGGUGUGACGCCUGCCCGGUGC